UGUGAGUAAUCUAUAUUUUAUUACCGGCUGGUGUAGCGGUAUCUAAGUUACUAGAAGGCUAGGGAACCACGCUAACAAGUAGUGGUCACCAGACUAGGACAGUCUGUGCGUAGCCGUUGAGAAGUGUACAAGAAAGAAAAGCAAGUCGCAUCCUAACAAUAAAAAUCAUAAAACAAAAAUUCAGUCUAAUAUUAUCUUUACUAUAGAGAAACCCUCUACACUGGUACAAUGUGUAUCGUCAUCUAGCGGUACUAGCUAUUAUUUCAUUGAACCGACUAGUAAAAUUAUGCAGCCAUCUAGCGGAAGUAAAUGUUACUAUGUCUUACCGACUUGUAGAAUAUGUUUCGCCAUCUAGAAAAAAGAUAAAACAUCACUAGGAUAAAAUCAAGAUGGCUACCUGUCAAUGUACUCUGAAUACCGUAAAUACAGACUAUGUGCAGUUGAUCGCCAAUUCUGGAUGAAAAUAAUUAAACCGGAUAAAGUGCUGUGGGACAAUGUUAUGUCAUAACCUAAGAAAAGUAAUUUUCUUAAUUAAAUCCGAAAAUACAGAUGAAUUCCAGACGUUCUUUUUAUCAAAUUAUUAUAACAAAUACUAGUCAACAUGCAGAUCUAUAUUUUUAAUUCCAAUCCAAGAACAUUAUACUCACGAAAAGAAGAAUUCAUUACACCAUUCAAUCAAUGGAGAUAUGUAUUUCAUUUUCUUACGGCUAACGAUUAGAAGAUUUGUAUUGAUUAUGUUAUCCGAACAAGAGUUUUAUUCUAUAAUAUUAUGUAAAUAGAAUGCAGUUGCAGUAACAAAGAAUAAUCACGACAAGAAUCUGUCGAAAGGGGAGGGAAAUAAUUUGACUAGAAGUUUCUACUCAUUAUUAUCAAGAUUGAUAAGAAGAAUCUAACAGUACUGCAACUAUGAAAGAUUUUUGAUUGCACUGAUCUUAUUAUACUUAUAUUUGGAAGAAACCAUAUGCAGUAUUAUCCUAUCAAAAUAAUACCAGAAGAAAUGCAUCCUAGUUAUCACAAAUUAAGAAAACAAAAGGCAAAUACAUUAUAUAAGGGAACUCUAUUUUAGAAGAAUAUCUUUUACAAAGUUUUGUACACGAGAUUCAAUGUGAAUUAUUAUGCAAAUAGAAUGCAGCAGCAGUGUCAAGAAAUAAUUAAAAUCAUAAAUUGUAAAAAGAGAUGUUAAAUCGUUUGACUGCAAGACACUACGCAUUACUUUUAACAACUAUAAGAAGAAUCUAACAAUACUGCAACCAUGAAAGAUUUUUGAAGAUACUACCCUCAUUAUACUUACAGUUGGAAAAAACCAUACUUAGUUCUAUCCUGUCAAUUGAAUUUCAGAAGGAAUGCAUCCUAGUUAUCACAAAUUGAGAAAACAAAUGGCAAAUACAUUCUAAUAUGCAGUUCUUAAUAUGUACUAAAUUUAUUAAUGUACNUCUUACUGGGAAUUUGAAAAUAUUACUGGGAAUCGACUAAGAUCAGAAAACUUUAUAUAUUUGUAAGAACUCAUGUCUUUUUUAUAGAAAUACCCCCAUGUAUUUUAUUGUGUAAAUAGAAUGCAGCUGUAGUGAGAAAAAAAAUUCUAGACAAUAAUAUGUUUAAAGGAUCUCCUGAACAUAGAAGUUGAUUGUUCAUAGAUGUCACUACACCCUCUGUUUAAUUAGGGAUCCUGUAGGAGGGAUGUGCCAUUGGCUGAAAAUUUUGGGGGACCACUUGAAUUUAUAAUAAUUUUUUCG
This 1733-nucleotide long non-coding RNA is filed under the name Polistes dominula (European paper wasp). RNAcentral's name for it is "uncharacterized LOC107065667, transcript variant X5". Lineage: Eukaryota; Metazoa; Arthropoda; Insecta; Hymenoptera; Vespidae. The record is from RNAcentral.